UACGUAGGGGGCAAGCGUUGUCCGGAAUCAUUGGGCGUAAAGCGCGUGUAGGCGGCUCGAUAAGUCUGCUGUGAAAGUCCAGGCUCAACCCUGGGAUGCCGGUGGAUACUGUCGAGCUCGAGUCCGGAAGAGGCGAGUGGAAUUCCUGGUGUAGCGGUGAAAAUGCGCAGAUAUCGGGAGGAACACCGGUGGCGAAGGCGGGUUCGCUGGGCCGUU
Molecule: ribosomal RNA, 216 nt
Filed under: uncultured bacterium
Lineage: Bacteria
Description: partial 16S ribosomal RNA
Rfam family: Bacterial small subunit ribosomal RNA
Source: RNAcentral